This 705-nucleotide long non-coding RNA is filed under the name Rattus norvegicus (Norway rat). Its description in RNAcentral is "long non-coding RNA NONRATT023659". Lineage: Eukaryota; Metazoa; Chordata; Mammalia; Rodentia; Muridae. The record is from RNAcentral.
CAGCAACCCACCGAGGGACGAGGAAACUGAGCAUAGCAAUGACCAUAGAGGACCUGCAGGGUCCCAAGAGGGACACUUGUGUCACUCAGCUGCCAUUCCACCUGGAACAAACUGCCCUCCGGGACCCUCAGGUCCAUGUCUACAGGGGCACUAGUAGCAACUGCUCCAUGAACCCAAUCCUCAACAGUAUGCUGAACAUCUAUCUCCCCUGUGCUCAGAACCAGAAUGCCCAAGGUGGUGAAGACCUUUGGGACAACACAAAAGUAAUGGAUCCCUCCACUUCCCCCUCCCCCAGGGCUUGCACCCCAACACCUGUGACCAUGGUAAAAAGGACAUGUGGGGAAGACUGACCCAGAAGCAGAGCACAGCCCUCCAGUCCAGUGACAGCUCCCUCCUCUCAGGGGCGUAGGACCCACCUCUGUUUUCCAAAGCUGGAAGCUGGACCAGCUGCAUCCUGAUGCCAGAGGCGCGGUCCCAGCCACAGGAAUGGAGGUCACAGGCUGACUCCCAGGCACUGCUGGGCACAGGAAAAUGUCCCAGACAGAGAGGGAAACCCUGUAAAAUUGCAGCCAUGUUGCUUUCUAGGCUUCUGCAGUAGGCCUGUGGGUGCGGCUGCGUAUCUGUGUAGCUGUGGGGGUGGGGGCUGCCUGGAGUCUCUGAGUGUGCAUAUGUCUUUGAAUAUAUAUUUGUGGGCGUGUCGGUGAA